This is a long non-coding RNA of Acinonyx jubatus (cheetah), 361 nucleotides long. RefSeq lists it as uncharacterized. The record is from RefSeq and is a predicted model, not a curated record. Lineage: Eukaryota; Metazoa; Chordata; Mammalia; Carnivora; Felidae. The transcript is spliced from 3 exons.
GAGAGGUGGGACAGGAUUUUUAGGGUUAUUCUGGGGAGGUAGGCUUAGGAAGGGUGAGCAACCCCUCAGCGGGGUGCCUUGGUUUCAGCUAGGAUGUUUUCCUCCAGGUAGCAGCACCAAGGAGCCCAGAGAAAGCAAGUGUCCCGGCUCACAGAAGCUCCAGCGGAUCAACAAUUUCCUUUCGGAGAAUGGAAUAUGCAUGUGGAUUCCAUUUGAAGGUAGAAGAGAUUCCAAAUUCACUCAACUGGGCAUAAAAAGCAAGGUUGCUUGUAUACCUUUUUCAGUUUGAAAAGACAAAUUCUCAUCGACCAUUCCCUCCUCAUUCAGAGAAGGUGGGUCCUCAGAAGAGCCCCCCCCCCCC